Neogale vison (American mink) is the source of this 69-nucleotide small nucleolar RNA. Lineage: Eukaryota; Metazoa; Chordata; Mammalia; Carnivora; Mustelidae. The record is from Ensembl.
UGGAUCGAUGAUGACACUGAGCCUAUGAGUCACAUGUGAUGAACACGUGUCUGGAACUCUGAGGUCCAA